GUGAAAAGCCUUCAGUUGUGCUCAGAUACUGCCUUCAUUGUUCUGGGCUCAACCGGAGAGGACUUUGGAGGAAAAAAGUCAAAGAUGAGCCUAGAGGGAGAGCCACAGAACUCGAGAGGGUGCACACCGCGAAGGCCGGGGAGGCCAUCUGACCACCCUCCCCUGGCGGGCGGGAGAGGAAAAGCAAGUGGAGCUGCCUGACCCGUGACCUACCUGCGGCGCAGGUCCUCGGCCACAGCCGCCCGGCAGCUGAACAGUUUGUGAACUGAUGCUCCCUUGACAGUGCUGCAGUCUGCGUGAUCCAAGAGCUGAGGAGGAAGUCGAGGCCGACUGCUUCUCCACACCUCACACACAGGAGUUGGAGCAAACAGCAAAAAUCCAUUUCUGGAUUCAUGGCUGGAUCAAGAACCGCACUGGUCAAAGAAAUCUCACAUGUUUGCAUGAAACGGACCUGGGGACCUUCUUCCAACCUCCAACCAACCCCCAACCUCCUUCCCGGUUGCAACCUCUAAGACCAUCUUUUCUUGGCCAUCCUCUGCCUCUGGGACCAGCCAACACUGGUUUUUGUGGUUAGCUCCUUACUGCCCACCAACCUUGAGCUCCUAGAUUCCACAGAAUUAUUCCACCAAAGUGGAGGCUGCUGUCAACCGCUGGGUUAACCUACAUCUGCAGGCUUUCUACACCUACCUCUCUCUGGGCUUCUAUUUUUUGCCACAACGAUGUGGCUCUGGAAGGCAUGGGCCAGCUCUUCUGCCAGGUGACCCAGGGGAAGCAUGAGGGUGCCCAGU
Non-coding RNA from Leptonychotes weddellii (Weddell seal), 788 nucleotides. Lineage: Eukaryota; Metazoa; Chordata; Mammalia; Carnivora; Phocidae. The record is from RefSeq and is a predicted model, not a curated record.